CCUCUGUCAUCCCUAUGACCGCUUUCUGUUCUUUUUUCCACAAAAUUAAACCCUAAAAGAUUUUCCCCCAAAAUUUCCCUCAAAUCAUAAACCCUAAAAUUCUCUCUCCGUUCAUUGAUGUGCGAUAAUAUCCUCAGCUUCAAUUUUAUAACAAAUUGAAAAAGUCUUCAUUUGAAUGGCGUGGAGUGAGAAAAACUGAAGUGGUGAACCUCUUAAUUUUCGCCCUCUCUUCUCUAAUGGAAAGUGCAGUGACUACAUCAUCAAUGCCGCUAGAUGAUGGAUAUAAUGAAUAUGAAACCAAACAACGCAAGAGAAAGAAGACAUGUGGUAUGGAAGGAGUUUAAAGAAGGACGGAGUGAGAAAGGUGAGCUAAUAGCUAUUUGCGGUUAUUGUAAACUCAUGUUGGCGGCCGGCUCUAAUCAAGGCACAUCUCAUUUAAAGCUUCAUUUACUAGAGAGUUAUCCACUAUGGCCCAUUGGGCUUCCACUUGGGGAGGGGUGUUAAUACGGAGGAGGGGAAUUUGUCUUUGAUAUGAAUGAAUUCAAAAAAGAGAUCAUACUUUAUGUUGUAAAAGGUGCUCAUCCAUUUUCAACCGUUGAAGAAAAAAGGGAAUAGAAACAUGAUGUUCAAAGCUGCUCCUUAUUUUAAACCUUUUAGUCGGACAAUGCUUACUAGAGAACUAUUUUCCUUAUACACUUGUGAUAGAGAAAAGAUUAAAGCAAUGUUGUUAGGUGC
Long non-coding RNA from Beta vulgaris subsp. vulgaris (sugar beet), 735 nucleotides. RefSeq lists it as uncharacterized. The transcript has 3 exons. The record is from RefSeq and is a predicted model, not a curated record. Lineage: Eukaryota; Viridiplantae; Streptophyta; Magnoliopsida; Caryophyllales; Amaranthaceae.